Chrysemys picta bellii (western painted turtle) is the source of this 317-nucleotide non-coding RNA. NCBI's taxonomy places the organism in Eukaryota, Metazoa, Chordata, Testudines, Emydidae. The record is from RefSeq and is a predicted model, not a curated record.
GAAUCGCAGGAAGCCGGGGGUGCAGGGCCUUGUGUCCCCCCACACUCCGUGACACCUUGCAUGUCUGUGAUGUGCACAAAGACGUUUCUGGAUGCUCAAGAAAUAACUAUCCGAUGACUCAGAAGCCGGAGGAUCCUUGCAAGCCGUGAGCCCAACCGUACAGGGCUCAGAGGGAGAGAGAAGCCCUUGGACAUCCCCAUCAUCUGGCUUCUGGGAAUUACAGCGCAGAACGACCAGCCUCAGGACGACGCAAGACAGCCCGUUAGGGAAGAUGAAGCAAUUGCUCGUCCUCCACGUCUUGGGCCAGACCACUGGAC